This 346-nucleotide long non-coding RNA is filed under the name Mus pahari (shrew mouse). RNAcentral describes it as "lncRNA (MGP_PahariEiJ_G0005236.1)". Lineage: Eukaryota; Metazoa; Chordata; Mammalia; Rodentia; Muridae. The record is from RNAcentral.
CUCCCGUUACGAGUCAUGUUUCUCUAGGACUUAAAAUUAUGGAAAUUCUUCAGGCAGAAAAUAGGCACAAAUAGUUAUUAUGGAAAAGCCUUUGAGGACCAGCUCUCUGGUAUUAUUAUGUGGCUCCCUUCAAGAAGUAAUCUACACACGGUUUAUUGAAGCUGUGAAUUUAAUCAUUUCAAUCCCAUGCUAUAGCAGGGUGACUAGGAGAAGAGGUAUUGAUACUCCUCUGGGAUACUUUGCUUAUCUAAUCUUGUUUGCUGGAAUGCCAAAGGUGUUGUUUGUACAGCACUUAAAGAAAGAAAAAAAAAAUCCAGUCCCUUCUUUUAGGACAAUGAUAAAUUUA